GACGAACGCUGGCGGCGUGGAUUAGGCAUGCAAGUCGGACGGUAGGGCUUUAUCGUAAGAUAGAGUUUGAGAGUGGCGAACGGGUGAGUAACACGUAGGAAUCUACCCUUAAGACGGGGACAACCCAGGGAAACUUGGGCUAAUACCGGAUGAGAGUGCGAGAGAUUGCAUUUAAAAGGAUGGCGAAAGUUGUCGCUUAGGGAUGAGCCUGCGGUCUAUUAGUUAGUUGGUGAGGUAAGAGCUCACCAAGGCGAUGAUAGAUAGGCGGCCUUAACGGGUGGUCGCCCACACUGGGAUUGAGAUACGGCCCAGACUCCUACGGGAGCAGCAGUCGAGAAUAGUCUACAAUGGCCGGAAGGCUGAUAGUGCGACGCCGCGUGAACGAGGGGAGCCCUUCGGGGUGUAAAGUUCUUUUCUAUACGAGCAGUGCUAUAUAUAUGGAUAGUAUAUAUAGAGGGAUAGUAGUAUAGGAAUAAGCAACGGCUAAACUCCGUGCCAAGCACG
RNAcentral lists this ribosomal RNA (504 nucleotides) under uncultured bacterium. RNAcentral describes it as "bacterial SSU rRNA". It matches the Rfam family "Bacterial small subunit ribosomal RNA", at positions 28 to 518 of the family's 1533-position model. The record is from RNAcentral.